This is a long non-coding RNA of Oncorhynchus tshawytscha (Chinook salmon), 5211 nucleotides long. The record is from Ensembl. NCBI's taxonomy places the organism in Eukaryota, Metazoa, Chordata, Actinopteri, Salmoniformes, Salmonidae.
GUCUUCCUGCAGCAGGGGUAACUCUGGGUCUUCCUGCAGCAGAGGUAACUCUGGGUCUUCCUGCAGCAGGGGUAACUCUGGGUCUUCCUGCAGCAGGGGUAACUCUGGGUCUUCCUGCAGCAGGGGUAACUCUGGGUCUUCCUUUCCUGUGACGGUCCUCAUGAGGGACAGUUUCAUCAUAGCGCUAGAUUGUUUUUGUAACUGUACUUGAAGAAACUUUCAAAGUUCUUGACAUUUUCCGUAUUGACUUACCUUCAUGUCUUAAAGUAAUGAUGGACUGUCGUUUCUCUUUGCGUAUUUGAGGUGUUCUUGCCAUAAUAUGGACUUAGCCCUAAUUGGUAAAAGACCAUCUUCUGUAUACCACCCAUACCUUGUCACAACACAACUGAUCGGCUCAAAUGCAUUACGAAGGAAAGAAAUUCCACAAGUUAACUUUUUAACAAGGCACACCUGUCAUUUAAAAUGCAUUCCAGGUGACUACAUCAUGAAGCUGGUUGAGAGAUGCUAAAAGUGUGCAAAGCGGUCAUCAAGGCAAAGGGUGGCUGUUUGAAGAAUCUCAAAUAUAAAAUAUAUUUUGAUUUGUUUAACUUUUUUUUGUUAACUACAUGAUUCCAUAUGUGUUAUUUCAUAUUUUUGAUGUCUUUACUAUUAUUCUACAGAGUAGAACAUUUUACAAAUAUAGAAAAACCCUGGAAUGAGUAGGUGUGUCCAAACUUGUGACUGGUACUGUAUAUGUAUGUAUAUAAUGGUGUGUGUAGAUGUUAUGGACAGUAUAUGUGAGUAGAGAAGGUGUGUACAGCAGUAGUUAAAAACGAUGGGCUAUGACUAGAAUGCAGUAUAUACAUAUGCAGUGGGUAAAACAUGUAAACAUUAUUGAAGUGUCCAGUGAUUAAUGCUUGAAGGGCACUAUGGCGUUAACGGCUGAGCUGUAGUCCAUGAACAGCAUUCUGACAGUUAUUCCUCUUGUCCAGAUGGGAUAGGGCAGUGCCAAUGGUGAUUAUGUCAUCCGUGGAUCUGUUUUUAUUAUUUAACUAGGCAAGUCAGUUAAGAACAAUUUCUUAUUUACAAUGACGGCCUACCGGGGAACAGUGCCUUGUUCAAGGGCAGAACAACAGAUUUUUACCUUGUCAGCUCGGGGAUUCCAUUUAGCAACCUUUCAGUUACUGGCCCAAUGCUCUAAUCACUAGGCUACCUGUGGCUCUACGGUGUUUGGUAAGGUGGAGUUGAUAUGAUCCUUAACUAGCCUCUCAAAGCAUUUUAUGAUGACAGAAGUGAGUGCUAUGGGGCAAUAGUCAUUUAGUUCAUUUUCCUUCACUUUCUUUGGUACCGGAACAAUGGUGGACACCUUGAAGCAAGUGGGGACAUCAGACUGGAAUAGGGAGAGAUUGAACAUGUCCGUAAGCACUCCAGCCAGCUAGUCUGAACAUGCUUUGAGGAUACGGCCAUCUGGGCCAGCAGCCUUAAGAGGGUUAAAUGCCAUGUCUGACACGGAGAAAGAGAGCUCAUACUCCUCGGUGGCCCACAUCAACGGCACUGUGUUUUCCUUGAAGAGGGAGCAGGUGUUUAGCUUGUCCGGGAGUAAGGUGUCAGUGACCGACAUGGCUGGAGACCCUAUCACAUAUGUUUUCAGUUUUGUGCGAAUGCUGCCGUCUCCACGGUUAUUUGUUUUGGAUAAGUUCUAAUCGUAACAGUGGUAACCUCUAUGCACUUCCUGGUGAACCCAGUCAGCAAGUCAGUUUAUACGUCAUUGAACCCAGUCACCAAGUGUAUACGUCAACGUUGUUAGAUUGUUCGACAUUGGUCUGACCAAUCGCAAUCAGGUACAGGUACUUCCUGUUUAAGUUUCUACCUAUAGGAAGGGAGGAGCAGAAGGGAGGCGUGAUCUGAUUUGCCAAAGGCAGGGCGUGGGAGGGACUUGCAACCGUCCUGGGAGGGAGAGUAGCAAUGGUCGAGAAUUCUUGAUUAGCGAGUAGCGCAGGUGAUGUUUUGAUAAAACUUCAGUGGCAUUUUCCUCAGAUUCGCUUUAUUGAAGCUACAAUAAAGGCAGCCUCGGGAUAUGCAAUUUCCAGUUUGUACAAAGUCCAGUGUUUAUUUUAUUUAUUUUUAUUUCACCUUAAUUUAACCAGGUAGGACAGUUGAGAACAAGUUCUCAUUUACAACUGCGACCUGGCCAAGAUAAAGCAAAGCAGCGCAACACAAACAACAACAGAUGGAAUAAAUAAACAUACAGUCAAUAACACAAUAGUAAGUCUAUAUACAGUGUGUGCAAAUGAGGUAGGAUAAAUGAGGCAAGGAAAUAAAUAGCCCAUAGUGGCGAAAUAAUUACAAUUUAGCAAUUAAACCCCCUUGAGUGAUAGAGAUGAGCAGAAGAUGAAUGUGCAAGUAGAGAUACUGGGGUGCAAAGGAGCAAAAAAAUAAAUAAUAUGGGGAUGAGGUAGUUGGGUGAGCAAUUUACAGUUGGGCUAUGUACAGGUGCAAUGAUCUGUAAGCUGCUCCGACAGCUGAUGUCUAUAGUUAGUGAGGGAGAUAUGAGGCAGCAGAGAACUGGAAGGAGAGGCGGCCAAAGGCAGAAUUGGCUUUUGGAGUGACCAGUGAGAUAUAUAUCUGUUGGAGCGCGUGCUACGGGUGGGUGCUGCUAUGGUGACCAGUGAGCUGAGAUAAGGUGGACUCUUUACCUAGCAAAGACUUAUAGAUGACCUGAAGCCAGUGGGUUUGGUGACGAAUAUGAAGCGAAGGCCAGCCAACGAGAGCAUACAGAUCACGGUGGUGGGUAGUAUAUGGGGCUUUGGUGACAAAACAGAUGACAUUGUGAUAGACUGCAUCCAAUUUGUUGGAGGCUAUUUUAUAGAUGACAUUGCCAAAGUCAAGGAUCGGUUGGAUGGUCAGUUUUACCAGGGUAUGUUUGGCAGCAUGAGUGAAGGAUGCUUUGUUUACGAAAUAGGAAGCAGAUUCUAGAUUUAAUUUUGGAUUGGAGAUGCUUAAUAUGAGUCUGGAAGGAGAGUUUACAGUCUAACCAGACACCUAGGUAUUUGUACUUGUCCACAUAUUCUAAGUCAGAACCGUCCAGAGUAGUGAUGCUAGACGGGAGAGCUUUUAGUUUUACUUGCAUUUAAAAGCAGUUGGAGGCCACGGAAGGAGUGUUGUAUUGAAGCUCGUCUGGAGGUUGGUUAACAGUGUCCAAAGAAGGACCAAAAGUAUACAGAAUGGUGUCGUUCCAGUGUAAUUCCUUGAGCCGUCAUGGUCUCAGCUUGAGGGGGAAUAUGAUGUUACUGAUGCCUCUCUGGAAGGAGAGCCCUGAUCUCGUCUUAAGUUAUUGUCCAGGGACUGAACAUUAGGAAGUAAUGUUUCAGGGAAGUCUUAUUUGUGAUGGAAAUGCGGGUGAGUGAUCUAAUAACUAAAAGUAAUUUUUUGGCAGUAGGUAAUAAUACAAGAAACCUUCUGAGAAAAUAAUGUAAGAUAUAACACAAAAACAACUGUACUGUAAAGUUGGCUAGGAGCUAGAAGCAGGGUGACCAUGUCUGUUGGCGCCAUCUUAUUUAUGACUUUGUGGUUGUGGUAACUAGUGAAGACCAGGUACAACUCUGAUAUAAAGGUUUUUUUCUCAAAGUUGCUGGAAUGCCAUGUGCCCUACUUAUAUCAGUACACUCGUAACGACCUAAUCAUUUCAAAACUUGUUCGAUGAAAUAAGCCAUUAAAUAUGUUAACGAAAUUCGCCACUCAUUGACCUCCAUACAAAAACUCCUUUCUUGGUGAGCGACAAAUAUAUAAAAACGCCCCCUGCUGGAGAAGUCUGACUUUAGGCCCUGUUAUCUCUCUUGCUUCAAGUCUUCCUCCUUUUGUGUCCCAAAUGCACCCUAUUCCUUACACUUAUAUAGGAAUAGCGUGCCAUUUGGGAUCAUUCCUUAGCGUGAUAGAUCUAACGCCUGGAUAUGUAUUCUAAGUAUCAGCUCACAUACACUAUAUAUACAAAAGUAUGUGGACACCCCUUUAAAUGAGUGGAUUUGGCUAUUUCAGCCACACCCGUAGCUGACACGUCGAUCACACAGCCAUGCAAUCUCCAUAGACAAACACUGGCAGUAGAAUGGCCUUCCUGAAGGGCUCAGUGACUUUCAACAUGGCACCAUCAUAGGAUACCACCUUUCCAACAAGUCGGUUCGUCAAAUUUGUGUCCUGCUAGAGCUGCCUCUGUCAACUGUAAAUGCUGUUAAUGUGAAGUGAAAACGUCUAGGAGCAACAACGGCUCAGCUGUGAAGUGGUAGGCCACAUCAGCUCACCGAACGGGACCGCCGAGUGCUGAAGCACAUAGAGCGUAAAAAUUCUGUCCUCGGUUGCAACACUCACUACAGAGUUCCAAACUGCCUCUGGAAGCAACAUCAGCACAAUUACUGUUCGGCUGGAGCUUCAUGGAAUUGGUUUCCAUGGCAGAGCAGCCACACACAAGCCUAAGAUCACCAUGUGCAAUGUCAAGCGUCGGCUGGAGUGGUGUAAAGGUCACGGGACAUUGGACUCUGGAGCAGUGGAAACACGUUCUUUGGAGUGAUAAAUCACGCUUCACCAUCAGGCAGUCCAAUCAACAAAGCUGGGUUUGGCAGAUGCCAGAAGAACGCUACCUGCCCGAAUGCAUAGUGCCAACUAAAGUUUGUUGGAGAAGGAAUAAUGGUCUGGGGCUGUUUUUCAUGGUCCGGGCUAGGCCCCUUAGUUCCAUUGAAGGGAAAUCUCAACGCUACAGCAUACAAUGACAUUCUAGACGAUUCUGUGCUUCCAACUUUGUAGCAACAGUUUUGGGGAAGGCCCUUUACUUUUUCAGCAUGAUCAAACACCGUUGGGAUGAAUUGGAACGCUGACUGCGAGCCGAGCCUAAUCGCCCAACAUCAGUGCCCAACCUCACUAAUUCUCUUGUAGCUGAAUGGAAGAAAGACCCCUGCAGCAAUGUUAAAAUAUCUAGUGGAAAGCCUUUCCCAGAAGAGUGGAGGCUGUUAUAGCAGCAAAUACCCAUGAUUUUGGAUUGAGAUGUUCGACAAGCAGGUGUCCACAUACUUUUGGUCAUGUAGUGUAGGUUAUAGCAAUUUGUCAGUCCAUGACACAGUCCAUCACACAGUCCAUCACACAGUCCAUCACACAGUCCAUCACACAGUCCAUCACACAGUCCAUCACACAGUCCAUCACACAGUCCAUCACACAGUCCAUCACACAGUCCAUCACACAGUCCAU